GAGGGAUCCACGUGGAGAGGAGGUAGAAAGUGACCACGGAGGAGCGGCACUGACAAAGCCCUGCGGACUGACUUUUGCUUUCAAUGUUUCUACCUCUUUUAAAACUUGAGUCUAAUUAGAGCUCCAUUGCUGAAGAAGUCCUGGGCCACAGUGAAAGAUCAGUCUCCUGGCAAUCUACCUGCUGCCUUGGCAACUCAAAAUUUAACCAGGAUUGGAGCCUGGAAAGGAACUCCUCUGAAUGCUUUAUUUAUAUAGCCAUCCCAAUAAUUAACUCUUAGUCCAGACAUUGGACAGGCUGAGCAUAUGUUCAAGAGAAGAGUUUCAUAGUGUAAUUUACCAGCAU
This 343-nucleotide long non-coding RNA is filed under the name Gallus gallus (chicken). The record is from RNAcentral. Lineage: Eukaryota; Metazoa; Chordata; Aves; Galliformes; Phasianidae.